This 61-nucleotide transfer RNA is filed under the name Reticulinasus faini. RNAcentral's name for it is "tRNA-Met". The record is from RNAcentral. Lineage: Eukaryota; Metazoa; Arthropoda; Arachnida; Ixodida; Argasidae.
UAUAAAGUAAGCUAAAUUAAGCUAGUGGGCUCAUACCCCAAAUAUGAUCUUUCCUUUAUUA